This 253-nucleotide ribosomal RNA is filed under the name uncultured bacterium. RNAcentral describes it as "partial 16S ribosomal RNA". It matches the Rfam family "Bacterial small subunit ribosomal RNA", at positions 524 to 776 of the family's 1533-position model. The record is from RNAcentral.
UACGUAGGUGGCAAGCGUUGUCCGGAUUUAUUGGGCUUAAAGGGUGCGUAGGCGGCUUUAUAAGUCAGUGCUGAAAUAUCCCGGCUUAACCGGGAGGGUGGCAUUGACACUGCAGAGCUUGAGUGAAGUCGAGGUAGGCGGAAUUGACGGUGUAGCGGUGAAAUGCUUAGAUAUCGUCAAGAACACCGAUAGUGAAGACAGCUUACUAGGCUUAGAUUGACGCUGAGGCACGAAAGUGUGGGGAUCAAACAGG